Molecule: unclassified non-coding RNA, 344 nt
Filed under: Mortierella alpina
Lineage: Eukaryota; Fungi; Mortierellomycota; Mortierellomycetes; Mortierellales; Mortierellaceae
Description: sequence contains 5.8S rRNA gene
Rfam family: 5.8S ribosomal RNA (bases 1-53)
Source: RNAcentral
GAACGCAUAUUGCGCUCUCUGGUAUUCCGGAGAGCAUGCUUGUUUGAGUAUCAGUAAACACCUCAACUUCCAUAUCUUUUUUGAAAUGGGAGUUGGACUUGAGUGAUCCCAACGCUUUUCCUCACCGAAAAGUGGCGGGUUACUUGAAAUGCAGGGGCAGCUGGACUUUUCUCUGAGCUAUAAGCAUAUCUAUUUAGUCUGCCUAAAAAACAGAUUAUUACCUUUGCUGCAGCUAACAUAAAGGAGAUUAGUGCUUGUGCUGACUGAUGCAGGAUUCACAAAGACAGCUUCGGCCGACUUUGUAAACUCGAUCUCAAAUCAAGUAAGACUACCCGCUGAACUUA